This 394-nucleotide ribosomal RNA is filed under the name uncultured bacterium. Its description in RNAcentral is "bacterial SSU rRNA". It matches the Rfam family "Bacterial small subunit ribosomal RNA", at positions 29 to 426 of the family's 1533-position model. The record is from RNAcentral.
AUUGAACGCUGGCGGCAGGCCUAACACAUGCAAGUCGAGCGGCAGCGCGGGGUAACCUGGCGGCGAGCGGCGAACGGGUGAGUAAUACAUGGGAAUCUGCCUAGUAGUGGGGGGAUAACUUCGGGAAACUGGAGGUAAUACCGCAUACGCCCUACGGGGGAAAGGGGGGGAUCUUCGGACCUCUCGCUAUUAGAGGAGCCCAUGUCCGAUUAGCUAGUUGGUGAGGUAAAGGCUCACCAAGGCGACGAUCGGUAACUGGUCUGAGAGGAUGGUCAGUCACACUGGAACUGAGACACGGUCCAGACUCCUACGGGAGGCAGCAGUGGGGAAUAUUGGACAAUGGGGGAAACCCUGAUCCAGCCAUGCCGCGUGAGUGAAGAAGGCCUCGGGUUGU